UGAAUGCAGGUUAAACGAGGUCCUUUA
Molecule: small RNA, 27 nt
Filed under: Bombyx mori (domestic silkworm)
Lineage: Eukaryota; Metazoa; Arthropoda; Insecta; Lepidoptera; Bombycidae
Description: ovarian small RNA-31161
Source: RNAcentral